GAGCGUAUAGCUCAGUGGUGGAGUGCAUGCUUAGCAUGCAUGAAGUCUUGGGUUCAAUCCCCAGUACCACCA
RNAcentral lists this transfer RNA (72 nucleotides) under Camelus bactrianus (Bactrian camel). It matches the Rfam family "tRNA". From Rfam's summary of the family: Transfer RNA (tRNA) molecules are approximately 80 nucleotides in length. Their secondary structure includes four short double-helical elements and three loops (D, anti-codon, and T loops). Further hydrogen bonds mediate the characteristic L-shaped molecular structure. tRNAs have two regions of fundamental functional importance: the anti-codon, which is responsible for specific mRNA codon recognition, and the 3' end, to which the tRNAs corresponding amino acid is attached (by aminoacyl-tRNA synthetases). tRNAs cope with the degeneracy of the genetic code in two manners: having more than one tRNA (with a specific anti-codon) for a particular amino acid; and 'wobble' base-pairing, i.e. permitting non-standard base-pairing at the 3rd anti-codon position. RNAcentral also lists the same sequence under 1 other name. The record is from Rfam by way of RNAcentral. Lineage: Eukaryota; Metazoa; Chordata; Mammalia; Artiodactyla; Camelidae.